GAUCCCAUCCCGAACUCGGCCGUGAAACGCUCCAGCGCCUAUGAUACUUCGUCUCAAGACGCGGGAAAGUCGGUCGCCGCCAGGU
RNAcentral lists this ribosomal RNA (85 nucleotides) under Aureimonas sp. Leaf427. Lineage: Bacteria; Pseudomonadati; Pseudomonadota; Alphaproteobacteria; Hyphomicrobiales; Aurantimonadaceae. The record is from RNAcentral.